This 617-nucleotide ribosomal RNA is filed under the name Clinostomum giganticum. RNAcentral's name for it is "SSU rRNA". It matches the Rfam family "Eukaryotic small subunit ribosomal RNA", at positions 366 to 901 of the family's 1831-position model. The record is from RNAcentral. Lineage: Eukaryota; Metazoa; Platyhelminthes; Trematoda; Strigeidida; Clinostomidae.
GGGGCUGGCGUCGAUUCCGGAGAGGGAGCCUGAGAUCGGCUACCACAUGCCAGGAUGGCAGCAGGCGCGAAAAUUACCCACUCCCGGCACGGGGAGGUAGUGACGAAAAAUACGGAUACGGGACUCAAACGAGGCUCCGUAAUUCGAAUGAGUACAAUUUAAAUCCUUUAACGAGGACCAAUUGGAGGGCAAGUCUGGUGCCAGCAGCCGCGGUAACUCCAGCUCCAAAAGCGUAUAUUAAAGUUGCUGCAGUUAAAAAGCUCGUAGUUGGAUCUGGGUUGUGCGUUCACGCGCCUUUACUUGUUUAUCAGACUCGGUAAUACCCGGGCUGGUGUUCGAGUUGGUGUAGUGGGCGUGCUGCCUUUCAGCCGUGUCUGUGUAAACGGGUGCUGACUGGGUUGAUGGGCUUGUCUUGUUAACCUGUUGGCAUGCUUCUAGAUGCCCUUUACCGGGUGUCGGGAGCGGACGGCAUCUUUACUUUGAACAAAUUUGAGUGCUCAAAGCAGGCCUGUGGGCCUGAAAAUUCUUGCAUGGAAUAAUGGAAUAGACUUCGUUCUAUUUUGUUGGUUUUCGGAUCCAAAUAAUGUUAAAGGACCAAAGGGAUUUUUUUUAAAAAA